Molecule: ribosomal RNA, 764 nt
Filed under: uncultured Streptococcus sp.
Lineage: Bacteria; Bacillati; Bacillota; Bacilli; Lactobacillales; Streptococcaceae
Description: bacterial SSU rRNA
Rfam family: Bacterial small subunit ribosomal RNA
Source: RNAcentral
GAUGAACGCGGCGGCGUGCCUAAUACAUGCAAGUAGAACGCUGAAGCUUGGUGCUUGCACCGAGCGGAUGAGUUGCGAACGGGUGAGUAACGCGUAGGUAACCCGCCUCUUAGCGGGGGAUAACUAUUGGAAACGAUAGCUAAUGCCGCAUAAAAGUCGACAUCGCAUGAUGUUGACUUGAAAGGUGCAAUUGCAUCACUAAGAGAUGGACCUGCGUUGUAUUAGCUAGUUGGUGAGGUAACGGCUCACCAAGGCGACGAUACAUAGCCGACCUGAGAGGGUGAUCGGCCACACUGGGACUGAGACACGGCCCAGACUCCUACGGGAGGCAGCAGUAGGGAAUCUUCGGCAAUGGGGGCAACCCUGACCGAGCAACGCCGCGUGAGUGAAGAAGGUUUUCGGAUCGUAAAGCUCUGUUGUAAGAGAAGAACGAGUGUGAGAGUGGAAAGUUCACACUGUGACGGUAACUUACCAGAAAGGGACGGCUAAUUACGUGCCAGCAGCCGCGGUAAUACGUAGGUCCCGAGCGUUAUCCGGAUUUAUUGGGCGUAAAGCGAGCGCAGGCGGUUAGAUAAGUCUGAAGUUAAAGGCUGUGGCUUAACCAUAGUACGCUUUGGAAACUGUUUAACUUGAGUGCAGAAGGGGAGAGUGGAAUUCCAUGUGUAGCGGUGAAAUGCGUAGAUAUAUGGAGGAACACCGGUGGCGAAAGCGGCUCUCUGGUCUGUAACUGACGCUGAGGCUCGAAAGCGUGGGGAGCAAACAGG